UGCAAGUCGAACGACCUCUUCGGAGGGAGUGGCGAAAGGGCGAGGAAUAGAAUCGAAUGUAUCUUAAGGUAGAGGAUAGCCCUUGGAAACGAGGGGUAAUACUCUAUGUGCUCUACGGAGGAAAGGUUUACCGCCUUAAGAGCAGCGAUUCUCCUAUCAGGUAGUUGGUGAGGUAAAGGCUCACCAAGCCGAAGACGGGUAGCGGGUGUGAGAGCAUGACCCGCCGCAUCGGGACUGAGACACUGCCCGGACUCCUACGGGAGGCUGCAGUAACGAAUCUUCCGCAAUGGGCGAAAGCCUGACGGAGCAAUGCCGCGUGUGGGAUUAAGCAUCUUCGAUGUGUAAACCACUGUCAGAAUCUAGAAAUACUGAUCAGAUUCAGAGGAAGGGCCGGCUAAUUCCGUGCCAGCAGCCGCGGUAAUACGGAAGGCCCGAGCGUUAUUCGGAAUCACUGGGCUUAAAGCGUACGCGGGCGGACUUGUAGGUAUCUUGUGAAAUCCCACGGCUCAACCGUGGAACUGCAGGGUAAACCACAAGUCUUGAGACAAGUAGGGGUCAGUGGAACGAUGUGUGGAGCGGUGAAAUGCGUAGAUAUACAUCGGAACGCCAAUGGCGAAGGCAGCUGACUGGGCUUGUUCUGACGCUCAGGUACGAAAGCGUGGGUAGCGAACGGGAUUAGAUACCCCGGUAGUCCACGCCGUAGACGAUGCACACUAGGUCGCGGUACCUCUCAUGGUUUCGCGGCCGGAGGUAAACUGGUAAGUGUGCCGCCUGGGGAGUACGGUCGCAAGGCUAAAACUCAAAGGAAUUGACGGGGGCUCACACAAGCGGUGGAGCAUGUUGCUUAAUUCGAGGCAACGCGAAGAACCUUACCUAGGCUUG
RNAcentral lists this ribosomal RNA (882 nucleotides) under uncultured marine bacterium. RNAcentral describes it as "bacterial SSU rRNA". It matches the Rfam family "Bacterial small subunit ribosomal RNA", at positions 56 to 983 of the family's 1533-position model. The record is from RNAcentral.